AAUGUCGUAACAAGGUUUCCGUAGGUGAACCUGCGGAAGGAUCAUUAAUGAGAUCAUGCCCCCUCGGGUGAGACCUCCCACCCACCUGUUCACCGCUAUCCCGUUGCCGUUUGCCGGUUCCCGUCGUGCGACGACGGGCCGCAGACGGCACCUUUAAACCCGUUAACUUAUCAUUGUCGUCUGAGUACUAUACAAUAGUUAAAACCU
Molecule: unclassified non-coding RNA, 207 nt
Filed under: plant metagenome
Description: partial contains small subunit ribosomal RNA and internal transcribed spacer 1
Rfam family: Eukaryotic small subunit ribosomal RNA (bases 1-47)
Source: RNAcentral